CCGCCACUGAUCGAAACUAGUUCUGAUCGUAUAUAUGUCGCACAUAUGUAAAUAUACUGGUCAAAAUCUGGUUUUUUGCAAUGAAGUUGCUCAACAUUUAUUUAUUUACGCUGUGUUUUUUAAUGGGAUUUAUUUCCUGGAUUAACGCGACGCCGUAUAAUUAUUAUCAAACUGCAAAUGUGGGCAGAUUUGGAGGCAGCAUCUUUGGCGAAGGCGUACUACGGCCUGGCAGUGAUACAGGAGAAGGCAUUUUUUCGGAGCUAGAUGCGCCCAGCUAUAGUCCACCCUCCAAUCAAUAUAAUGCAUACCGUUAUCAGUAGAUCAUCUUAGAUCAUUCAGAUUUGCAAUCCGCGUUGUGAUUCGGUUCAUGAACCUUGUUUGCUGCGCGUCACAUUAUAACAUUAAUAUGUUGACAUGACAUUUCAUCAAGGACUGUUAACUAUAACAUUUAUUAUUUAAGCAUUAAUUAAUAUGCAAAGCUUGCAGGAGCUCGUGUGCACUUAGCAUGGGCAUCAACCCACAUUGUAUAAUAGAAGCUUUACGAUAUACAUUAAUUUACAAAUUAAAACACAUAAAUUGUAUAAAGCAUGAAAAAAGUUGUUGUUCUUGGGCUCAAAGUCUGUUAACAAUCAAAUUACUAAUUGUAACAUGAAUGAAAGUUCAGACUCAUAUUUUUAAAUGCUGUUAGUAAAUGAAGUACCUUAGCAUAUACUUAGCAUAGACAGCAACCCAAAGUGCAUAUAAGAAGCUUUACGAAAUGUCUAAUACAUUUAUAAACUUGAAAUUUUAUUUUUAAAAAAUUUUCAUUUUCUUUUUUAUUAAA
This is a long non-coding RNA of Drosophila hydei, 823 nucleotides long. RefSeq lists it as uncharacterized. The transcript is spliced from 3 exons. Lineage: Eukaryota; Metazoa; Arthropoda; Insecta; Diptera; Drosophilidae. The record is from RefSeq and is a predicted model, not a curated record.